UUCAAAUUAAAGCUCCUAACGUGUUUCAGAAUGUAGGGCCAUUUUCAGGCGCACAGCUGGGAUCUACCUAUUGUAUAAGAAUAAUUCCCCUUUUUGUAGUUAGAGGUUAAGAGUUGAGAUUUUAAUGCACACCACAUCUUCUUGGUAAUUGUAUGAGUUGAACGACACUGACUGUGUAUGUCCGAACUCUUGUAAUUUCAGUUGUAAUAUAAUAUAUUUAUUUAUGUUUUAUUUUGAUACUCCACACCUAAAAAUACUUUUACUUGUUUCAAUUUAGAUGUAUUUGUUUAAGCUAUCGUUUAUAAAAUACGCGUUGUCACUGCUGAUGAACGUGUAGCUGGUACAGACGGAAACGUGACCAUAAGGCUGAAAGGAACCGCUGGGAACACUGGGAUCAUAGGGCUGCCUGGACGAUUCGAACAAAAUAGCAUUGUUGACAUUGCCAAGCUCCUUCCUGAUGUUGGAACUAUCAUAACAAUUACUAUUGGAGUAACUCGUCUUAACAUGUUUGACGGAUGGAAGCCCAGCCAUGUGACUGUACACGAUACACGGCGAAAACAUUUCUACUUGUUUCAACACGACGGAACUGAAUUGGACAAUAGAUCAAUAACACUUGGACUGAACGGAUGUGUUACUACAUAUACGAUACAAAGGGGCUUUCUCAGAGACCGAGGACAGUAUUAUACGCUCAAAUAUGGUAUUAAUACGGUAUCCGAAUGUAUGAUGUUUUGUUUACAAUAUAACUGUUUUCAAGCAGAGUAUAUGGCGCCGAAUAAAUCAUGUGGUAUAGCUACACGUUUUACUAGACCGGUAACUGAACGGAGAGAUGAUGCAAUACAUGUGCUAACACCGGAUUGUGUGCGUAUGUGACAAUCCAGUACAUCCACGAAACAUCAUGUUUGGCAUGAUUGAAUAAAUUUCUAACAACUUAACAUCCUAUAAUACCAAUUAUAUACGGAUUUAACUUAACAAAUUUAAGGAUAUAUUAUGUACACAAUCAUUGACGUGUUUGUCUAAAUUAAAUUGCUAAAAUCCGUUUUAGUGACUUAACAUUUAAAGAAUGAAAUCCUGUAAGUAAAUGUACGUUCAGGAAUAGCCUCAUAGUGGAUUUUAAAUGUAAAAUUCCUUUUGCGGUUUUAUUCAAAGAUUUAUUCUUGGCGAAGCGGUGCUUUUGAUGCUUUAAAAAAGUGUAACUAUAUAUAAAAUGCAUGCGUAGAAUUUCAUGAAAGUAUCUAUAAAUAAUUAAAUUGUUUUAGUGUAGUAAUUGUCUUGUGUUCCCUGUAACCAUGUUCAGAGUUUUGUAAUACGUCAUAGAACAAAUGCAUAACAGCGUCCAUUUUUAUUUUAAAUGAAGCAUGUUACCAUUUUUAUUACAUAGGGUGGACUAUAUUUUUUAAUAUAAAAAAGAAACAGAUAAUGUUAGGAGAUGUAUUUACAUAAAAUGUAUCCAUGUGCCGUGUAAGGCAUGAAGUGUCAAAAUAAAAAUUUGAGAAUGUA
Long non-coding RNA from Dreissena polymorpha, 1497 nucleotides. RefSeq lists it as uncharacterized. Lineage: Eukaryota; Metazoa; Mollusca; Bivalvia; Myida; Dreissenidae. The record is from RefSeq and is a predicted model, not a curated record. The transcript has 3 exons.